CGGCUCCCCACACGCACAUUGUUUAUCAACAAUCGAACGGGCGCGCUCGUUCAUUGACACUUCAAAAGGAGUUGUUUUCUCGAAAUAUUCCUCUGGAAGGGUUGAUCACAGUAAGCGCUGUCCUUGUGGAUACUGACCAAUUUGUAGAAAUACGGUGAAGGUUUAGAAUUAAAGCACCCUAUUCUUCUAGUGACGUCAUUGGGUAAUGUUGUGAAAUAAAGCGGCACCUUCUUAAUUGCGAUAAGCACUUCUAGAAACGGUUAAAGGUACUUCUACACACUAUGGAAAAGCACAGACAACAACAUGGCGGAAGGAUCUACAUCCAGAACCUUUACACCACAAAUCCCUUCAAAAUCAGAAAACUCCUCCAAGAUGUUCAAAGGAAUUGUUGUGACUCAUCUACAACCUUCAAGGGCAAGAAACGUAGUUGAUCAAUGAAUCAAAGUCUACCAUAUCUACGUUACAUGACUUUAUCCUUCAAAAAGCCCUUGAAAGACGACGCCACUUGACCGAGAGUCAUUCCAGCCUCUCUUUUAGCCUUCCAGGAGUAUAGAAAUUCACGCGAAAACACGAAAAAGGACCCAUUUUCGAUGAAGAUCUAGUUCACUUGAGG
This is a long non-coding RNA of Anopheles merus, 613 nucleotides long. RefSeq lists it as uncharacterized. The transcript has 3 exons. The record is from RefSeq and is a predicted model, not a curated record. NCBI's taxonomy places the organism in Eukaryota, Metazoa, Arthropoda, Insecta, Diptera, Culicidae.